AUGUCGAGGCUAGCGAGGACGCCGACGCACUUCUCGUCGUCGUGCAGCACCUCGCAGAGCGCGUCGGCGGCCUCCCUCCGCAUCUCGCCGUCGUCGAUCUGGGGGUCGAGAGGAGGUCGGCAGGGCGAUGAGGGAGAGGAGAAGGCCCGGCGGCUGGCUCGCGGCCGCUGCUCGCCCGCCGCUGCCGCUCUGCUCCGCCGACCGCGUGCUUGCGUACCGCCGUCGGCGCUUCGCUCCGCCGACCGCCCGCUCGCUGCAGCGCUCACCCGCUGCGCAUACGUGCCCGCUGCCGCUCCGCUCCACUGCGCGCCUGACACUCACCGACGCCCCGACCCCUCUGUCCUCGGCGAGCUCGUGUACAACGUCCCCGGCGCCAAGAACGUCCUCGAGAAGUCGAGAUGCCCCUUCUCGCAGCUCAGGCACUUCUUGUUGAUGGCGAUGGAUCACUUGACUAAGUUCAAGUGCGGCGGGUUCGUGCUGGGUCUCGCCAUCAACCACUGCAUGUUCGACGGCGUCGGCGCCAUACAGUUCGUCAACUCGUGCGAGGGGUGUGCCGCUCUCCGCAGUUCAAGUGCGGCGGGUUCGUGCUGGGUCUCGCCAUCAACCACUGCAUGUUCGACGGCGUCGGCGCCAUACAGUUCGUCAACUCGUGCGAGGGGUGUGCCGCUCUCCGCAGGUCGCUUUCCCGCACCACGAGUUCGGCAGAUCGACGGCGGCGAUAACGGCGGCUCGCCGACGCAGGACGGCGCCGAGCCGCUCCUGCACAGGUCGUUCUGGUUCACGCCCGAGUCCAUCGCCCGCGUCAAGGCGCUCGUCGCGGUCGACGGCGGCGGCGGCGGGCGCGCGCCCACGACGUUCGAGGCGCUGGGGAUGGGGCACGCGCGGCAGAGCAAGCUCCUCUUCGCC
RNAcentral lists this long non-coding RNA (906 nucleotides) under Oryza sativa Indica Group (long-grained rice). RNAcentral describes it as "lncRNA OsLiXu_12g0009670". Lineage: Eukaryota; Viridiplantae; Streptophyta; Magnoliopsida; Poales; Poaceae. The record is from RNAcentral.